RNAcentral lists this long non-coding RNA (964 nucleotides) under Zonotrichia albicollis (white-throated sparrow). RNAcentral's name for it is "lncRNA (ENSZALG00000001752.1)". Lineage: Eukaryota; Metazoa; Chordata; Aves; Passeriformes; Passerellidae. The record is from RNAcentral.
CCGCUGGGGUGAUUCUGGGUCAGAUUUCGGGGUAUUUUUGGGGCUAUUUUGGCUCAGAUUUUGGGGUAUUUUAGGUGCGAUUCUGGCUCAGAUUUCGGGCGAUUUCGGCUCAGAUUUCAGGGUAUUUUUGGGGUGCUUUUGGCUCAGAUUUCGGGGUAUUUUUGGGGCUAUUCUGGCUCAGAUUUUGGGGUAUUUUAGGGGUGCUUUUUGCUCAGAUUUCAGGGGUAUUUUCGGGCUAUUUCGGCUCAGAUUUUGGGGUGUUUUCUGCUCAGAUUUCGGGGUAUUUUUUGGGCUAUUCUGGCUCAGAUUUCGGGGUAUUUUAGGUGUGAUUUCGGCUCAGAUUUCGGGGUAUUUUUGGGCUAUUCUGGCUCAGAUUUCGGGACGAUUUCGGGCUAUUUCGGCUCAGAUUUCGGGGUGUUUUUGGUCAGAUUUCAGGGUAUUUUAGGUGCGAUUUUGGCUCAGAUUUUGGGGUGUUUUUGGGGCGAUUCUGGCUCAGAUUUCGGGGUGUUUUUGGCUCAGAUUUCAGCGUAUUUUAGGUGCGAUUUCGGCUCAGAUUUUGGGGUAUUUUCAGGCUAUUUCGGCUCAGAUUUCGGGGUGAUUUUGGGUUAUUUCGGCUCAGAUUUCAGGAUAUUUUAGGUGCGAUUUCGGCUCAGAUUUCGGGGUAUUUUAGGUGCGAUUUCGGCUCAAAUUUUGGGGUAUUUUCGGGCUAUUUCGGCUCAGAUUUUGGGUUAUUUUUGGGGUAUUUUUGGGGUGAUUUCAGCUCAGAUUUGGGGGUGUGCCCCCCGGUCCCACCUGGUUGAACUCGAGCACGUCGAGCAGGUCGAAGAGCUUCCUGUUCUUCUCGUUGUCCUUGAGUUUGACGUAGUACUGCUGCAGCCCGUGCAGCGUCAGCUUCGUCUCGUCGUCCACGAAGAUCUCCAUGGGCUGGGGGGGGAGCGCGCUCAGACCCCGCACGGGCACCCCA